GGGGAUGCUAGGCAUCGACGAAUGAUCCGUGUCUCAGUGUGCAGUACCGAAGUUGAAUUCAUCUUCGUAAAAAUGAAUUCACUUGUAUGUGCAAAGAAAAACAUACUAAGUCCGUAUGCUAAGUCAUUCGGAUUUGCACCCGCAUUUGCGUAAAUCACGCUUGCCGAUGCAACGCUCCUAAUACCGAAGUUACAUAAGUAUUAGUGAGUGAAAUAAACAUGUAGCUCGGUUGAUUACCUGUUUCAGUAAUCGACUUAAAUUCUUGAAAAUCGAACAAAUUGUGUUUUGUCACUUCUUCUAACAAUUUGUUUUAAACUUAAGGAGUGACUAUGUACUGUAGAAGCACCGUGGCCGCUCAUUGCGGACGGGGGUUCAACUCCCCCCAUCUCCACUA
This 394-nucleotide transfer-messenger RNA is filed under the name Candidatus Kaiserbacteria bacterium. It matches the Rfam family "transfer-messenger RNA". From Rfam's summary of the family: Bacterial tmRNA, also known as 10Sa RNA or SsrA, is named for its dual tRNA and mRNA-like properties. RNAcentral also lists the same sequence under 1 other name. Lineage: Bacteria; Candidatus Kaiseribacteriota. The record is from RNAcentral.